RNAcentral lists this transfer RNA (28 nucleotides) under Sceloporus scalaris (bunch grass lizard). RNAcentral's name for it is "partial tRNA-Leu". Lineage: Eukaryota; Metazoa; Chordata; Lepidosauria; Squamata; Phrynosomatidae. The record is from RNAcentral. RNAcentral also lists the same sequence under 4 other names.
UUAAAGGAUAAAAGUAAUCCACUGGUCU